Transfer RNA from Hypholoma sublateritium FD-334 SS-4, 107 nucleotides. It matches the Rfam family "tRNA". Rfam says of the family: Transfer RNA (tRNA) molecules are approximately 80 nucleotides in length. Their secondary structure includes four short double-helical elements and three loops (D, anti-codon, and T loops). NCBI's taxonomy places the organism in Eukaryota, Fungi, Basidiomycota, Agaricomycetes, Agaricales, Strophariaceae. The record is from Rfam.
GCCUGCCUAGCUCAAUCGGAUAGAGCGUCAGACUCUUAUACGGAGUGGCGGGAUCAACCAAAGCUUCUGAUAUCUGAAGGCUGCGAGUUCGACCCUCGCGGUGGGCU